Molecule: ribosomal RNA, 400 nt
Filed under: uncultured bacterium
Lineage: Bacteria
Description: bacterial SSU rRNA
Rfam family: Bacterial small subunit ribosomal RNA
Source: RNAcentral
UGGGGAAUAUUGCACAAUGGAGGAAACUCUGAUGCAGCGACGCCGCGUGAGUGAAGAAGUAUUUCGGUAUGUAAAGCUCUAUCAGCAGGGAAGAAGAAAGUGACGGUACCUGACUAAGAAGCCCCGGCUAACUACGUGCCAGCAGCCGCGGUAAUACGUAGGGGGCAAGCGUUAUCCGGAUUUACUGGGUGUAAAGGGAGCGUAGACGGCAUGGCAAGUCUGAAGUGAAAGCCCGGGGCUCAACCCCGGGACUGCUUUGGAAACUGCUAAGCUUGAGUACAGGAGGGGCGAGUGGAAUUCCUAGUGUAGCGGUGAAAUGCGUAGAUAUUAGGAGGAACACCGGUGGCGAAGGCGGCCCGCUGGACUGUAACUGACGUUGAGGCUCGAAAGCGUGGGGAGC